RNAcentral lists this long non-coding RNA (26936 nucleotides) under Populus tremula. RNAcentral's name for it is "long non-coding RNA (PTRE_LNC001694)". The record is from RNAcentral. Lineage: Eukaryota; Viridiplantae; Streptophyta; Magnoliopsida; Malpighiales; Salicaceae.
GCUGUGAUUUUAUGUCUUUUGUUGCCACCACACAUAGCUUUCCAGGCUGCUUCUUGAACUUCUUUAGGCACCCCAUGACAAAUGGCAACAUUAUGCCCUUCCUCUCCUGAUAAAUGCCAUUUGAUCCUUGAAAUGGAGGUUUUAUUGGCAAAUGUGUGUUGACAAAACUUACACUUCAUGCUACCAUCAGUCCUAUCUUCAAUAUAAUUCCAAAAUGAAUCCUUUGAUCGAACCAUUUCAACCUAUAUAAAAAAUGUAGAAAUGUAAAGAACUAUAAAGAGCUGCCCUGCAUUUACUGAUGAAGGAAAAGAACAGUGAACUUAGUUCACGAUUGAGAAGAACAAAUGCUUAAGUAAAACACAGAGCUUUGAUUAUCAAAUGUAAAGAACAAAGAGCAGAAUUGAGUUAGUUGGUUACUGCCAUCCCAAGUCUUUAUUUAUAAAGGGAAAGAAACAGAAUUUGAAUGGAAAACAAUAACUAGAAACGUGCCUGCCUUCUUCUCCUUUAUUUAAGGAGAUGAUUACAAGUUAAUUCAAUCCUAGAUAAUCUUAACAAAGAAAUCAAAAACAUAUCCUACACUAGAUAAUAGUCUCAGCUAAAAUAAAGAAAUAAUGCAGCAGUGAAUUACUGCUAAGUCUUCUGCUUCUGCUAGCUUAGGUACCAAGCUUCAACACUCCUCCUUGGUUCCAAAGCUAGUCAUUCCAAUUCUUGCCCUUAGAUCUUCAAACCUGGUUUUACCCAACGGUUUGGUGAAAAGAUCUGCUAGUUGAUCUUCAGAAGUGCAGUAGCACAGUUCCAGUUCUCCUUCUUGUUGAAACUGCCUGAGUGCAUGAAACUUGAUCUUCAUGUGCUUGGUUUUAUCAUGGAAGACAGAGUUUUUAGAAAUGGCUAUAGCUGAUGUAUUGUCACAAAACAAUGUUGUGGGAUUGUGUUGAUUGCAGUCUAAGUCACUUAGCAUCUUCCUCAGCCAUAUCAGUUGUUUUGCUGCUACAUAAGCAGCUAUAUAUUCGGCUUCUGCAGUAGAAUGUGCCACCACCGAUUGUUUCUUUGAAUUCCAGCAAAACAUACUCUUUCCCACAGCAAAACAGUAGCCUGAUGUGCUCAUCAUUCCUUCAUCACUUCCUCCCCAAUCACUGUCUGAAAAACCAACAAGAUUAAUUGAGCCGGACUUCACAAAGUGUAUGCCAAAACCUGCAGUCCCUCUUAGAUAUCUUAAUACUCUCUUAGCUGCCACAAAGUGAUUUUGACUUGGCUCUUGCAUGAACCUGGAAAGAUAAUUCACAGCAAAUUGAAUGUCAGGACGUGUGGCUGCUAAAUACAGCAAACUCCCAAUUAGACUCCUGUAGAUUUUCCCAUCAGCUUUUGGUGAGCCAUCCUCUUUCAUUAGCUUCUGCCCCUGUAUCAUAGGAGUGCUUACUGGCUUGCAAUUGUUCAUUGCAAAACUGUCCAGUAUUUUCAAAGAAAAACGUUGUUGACAAAGAAAAUAACCUUGAUCAGUUUGAGUUACUUCCAUUCCUAAAAAAUAAGUCAACAAACCAAGUUCAUUCAUCUCAAACAUGUCUUUCAUAUUGGUUUUGAAUUCCUCUACAAGCUGCUCCUUAUCCCCUGUGAUUAGUAAAUCAUCAACAUAAACUGAUACAAUUAGUUUAUGUCCAGCAGCAUGCUUCACAUAUAAAGUUACCUCAUUCAUGCUCCUGUUAAAUCCCAAGCUUAAGAGAUGAUUAUCCAACCUGCUAUACCAAGCUCUAGGAGCUUGUUUCAAUCCAUACAAUGCUUUCUUCAGUAAAUAAACCUUGUUUGUUGAAUUAGAUUUUUCAAAACCAGCAGGCUGCUCAACAUAAAUCUCUUCAUCUAGCACCCCAUUCAAAAAUGCAGAUUUAACAUCCAAUUGAAAUAUAUACCAACCGUUUUGUGCUGCUAGAGCAAGCAGGAGUUUCAUUGUUUCAUGUCUGGAAACUGGAGCAAAAGUUUCUGUGAAGUCGAUCCCUGCCUCUUGUGAAUAUCCUUUCACUACAAGUCUGGCCUUAUGCUUGUUGAUCUUUCCAUCUGCAUUUACUUUUGUUUUGAAAAUCCAUUUCACUCCAAUCACCUUCUUAUGAGCUGGUCUGUCAACUAGCAUCCAUGUUUGAUUCUUGUCUAUCAUUGCAAGCUCCUCCUUCAUUGCUGCUAUCCAAACUUGAGAGUUCAUGCUUCUUCAACAUUUACUGGUUCUGCCUCGCUACAUUGCACCUGCUAUAGAUAUCUGAUAGAGAUCUUGUCCCUCUUACUGGUUGAUCAUCACUGUUUUCUGCAGCAUCCAAGUCAGUUUGUUGCUCAAUAUUCCCAGCAACAUCUGUUUGUUGAUUAAUCAUGUUUGCAUCAUCCAACUCAUCUUGUUGCAUCGGUUUUGAUUCUUCAUUUGAUGAAUUUUUCCAGUUCCAAGCUGCAUUUUCUACAACUUUGACAUCUCUAGCAACCACCACUUUGUUAACAUUCAAAUCAUAGAUUUUAUAAGCUUAGAAUUUGUACUAUAGCCUAUAAGAAUCCCUAUAUCAGCCUUUUGAUCAAGUUUCCUUCUUCUGACUUCAGGUUUCAGAACAUAACAAAUACUUCCAAACACCUUUAAAUGAUCAAUACUGGGUUUAAAACCAUACCAGAGUUCAUAAGGAGUUUUAUCUGCCAAAACUCUUGAAGCCAUUCGGUUUAUAAGGUAUGCUGCUGUGUUUACUGCUUCUGCCCAGAAAUUCAAUGGCAACUUCUUCUCAUAGAGCAAGCAUCUAGCCAUCUCCAUCAAUGUUCGGUUUCUUCUUUCACUUACACCAUUCUGCUGUGGUGUGUAGGGAACAGUCAGCUGGUGUUUAAUCCCUUCUUUAGCAAGGUAUGCUUCAAAUUGUCGAGAGGUAUACUCUCCUCCAUUGUCAGAUCUCAAAGUCUUCAAUUUGUUUCCUGUUUCUAGUUCAACUGCUGCCUUGAACUUAACAAACUCAGCAAACACAUCAGCUUUGGAUUUUAGAAAAUAAACCCAGCAAUACCUGCUAAAAUCAUCAAUAAACAGAAGAAAGUACUUUGAACCAUUUAAUGAUUCAUUGUGCAUAGGUCCACACACAUCUGUGUGUACAAGCUGAAGUUUAGAUACUGCCCUGUAUGCAUUUUCUGGAAAAACAGUUCUGGUUUGUUUUCCCAGCUGACAAGCCUCACAUAUAGUUUGCUGCUCCUGAAUAUUUGGCAACCCGUGAGCCAUCUGCUGGUCAGCCAUUCUUUUUAAAGUAGCAUAAUUGAAGUGUCCCAGCCGUUUGUGCCAAAGAACAGAUUCCUUGCACUCAUAAGUAUUAGCACUUAAACACACUUCAUUCCAAUUAACAUUAAAGCUUCGGUUCAUCAUUUUUGCAGACAGUAAAAGCAUUCCAUUUCUAUCUUUAAUGUCACACACUCCAUCAUUAAAAACUAUUGAAUAUCCAGAUUCAAUCAAUUGACCCACACUAACUAGAUUUGGUUGAUCUUAGGCACAUAAAGAACAUUUUUAAGAAUUUUUGUACCUGACAGUGUUUCUACUGCAAUUGCUCCUUUUCCUUCAACUUUCACAAGUCUCCAUUGCCAAUUCUGACUUUAGACAGGUAGCUUCUAUCCAAGUCUCUGAAUAAGCUUAAGUCUGCUGUCAUAUGAUUAGUGCAGCCGCUAUCAAUGAGCCAUGAUGAGUCCUUUGUCUCUGCUGAAUUACAUAUGUCCUGAACUGUGACCAUGAAUAGAAGUUCUUCUUUGACUUCUGAACAAUCGGCUACUUGUGCUUGUUGUUCAGUUUCUGUUUUAUUUUUGCAGAAUCUUUGAUGUGACCAAAUUGCUUGCAUUUUCGGCAUUGAGCAUUCUUGAGCCAACACCAGGCUUCAAGAUGAUUGUUUUCUGACAGUAUUUGCAAGCAGGAAAAUGUUCUUUCUUCUCUUUCCCCCUCAUGAAACUGUUAUUGUUGUUCUGUUGCCAGUUAGCAGAUUUCCAGUCUCUCCCUUUUUCUCUUUUUCCUUCUUGAUUAUUUCUGAAGAUGUUCUUAGCCCGACCCUUAUCCUUGUAAACUGCAACAAGAGCUCCUUCACUUGAUCCUUCUUGUCUAUAUGCUUGCCUUUGCUCCACAGCUUGCAAUGCAUUCACCAAUUCUUGCAGCUUAUCUCAGAAAAAUCUUUAGAAUCUUCUAAAGAACAGAUUUUAUGUUCAAAUUUUCUGGCAAACUCACCAGGACUUUCUCUACAAUUCUAGAGUCUGGAAAAUCUUCUCCCAAGAGUCUUACUUGAUUCACAAGUUUUGAAAUUUGAGAAGAGAAAUCUUUGAUGCUCUCAUUUUCUUUCAUCUUCAGACCUUCGAAUUGUCUUCUCAGAUUCAGAAUCUGCAUCCUUCUUGAUUUCUCAUCACCAUGGAACUCUGCUUUUAAUUUAUCCCAUGUUUCCUUGGCAGAUUUGCAUGCCAUGAUCCUCGUGAAGAUGUCUUCACUUACAGCAUUAUGAAGACAAGAAAGAGCUUUGAAUCUCUUUGCCUUUUCUUCAUUAAAGAACUUCAUCUGUGCAAUUGUGGGAUUGUUACCUAGAGGAGUAGGUUGCCUAUCACUUUCCACUAUCUCCCAUAAAUCAAGAGCUUUGAGAUAGGUUUCCAUUUUUACAGCCCACACACCAAAAUUCUGCCCUGCAAACAAUGGUGUUUUUGCUGGAAAAUUUGCAGAAUCCAUUGCUUAAAAAAAAACUCACUCAAUCUCUCGUGUAUCACUCACCAGCCCUCAAAGUAAAACUUUGAUUUAUCCUCACAGUACUCUCGUGUUUCUCACUCACAAAGAAUCCCUUCAAAGAUCAAAAAAAGCUCUGAUACCAAUUGUAGAAAUGUAAAGAACUAUAAAGAACUGCCCUGCAUUUACUGAUGAAGGAAAAGAACAGUACUUAGUUCACGAUUGAGAAGAACAAAGGCUUAAGAAAACACAGAGCUUUGAUUAUUAAAUAUAAAGAACAAAGAGCAGAAUUGAGUUAUUGGUUACUGCCAUCCCAAGUCUUUAUUUAUAAAGGAAAGAAACAGAAUUUGAAUGGAAAACAAUAACUAGAAACGUGCCUGCCUUCUUCUCCUUUAUUUAAGGAGAUGAUUACAAGUUAAUUCAAUCCUAGAUAAUCUUAACAAAGAAAUCAAAAACAUAUCCUACACUAGAUAAUAGUCUCAGCUAAAAUAAAGAAAUAAUGCAGCAGUGAAUUACUGCUAAGUCUUCUGCUUCUGCUAGCUUAGGUACCAAGCUUCAACAAAAAAAAGGUAAGUCAAAAUAAAGAAUAAAAAUUGAUGCAAGUUACACCAUAUCCAGAUGGAUGAGAAACUACUUCUUCAGUGUUGUUACCCUUAUUUUGCUAUUAAAAUUGAUAGUUAGUUUAUUGCACAAUCAUAGGAGGGAAAAAGACGACGAUAAUUCAGUUAUACUUCUUACUUGUUGAGUAUUUAAACCCCUAUUUUGACUUUGCAGGGAAGUGCCAAGGCCAGGAUUUGAGGCAUUUGGCGUAGCAGUUUGAUUUUGCAAUCCUCGAACUUGGAGGUUAUCCAUCUGUGACCUAUAUAUAAAUGAAGUGAUCAUAUUAUAAAACCUUUCCAUAAUUGGUAGUCUCUCUUAAGCAGUAAAAGUUAAUGGUGUUAAAACACAACAGCUAGAAGUCAAUCAGUACCUAGGCACGAAGUUCUCUUGUUGGACAUUGUCUAUGUUAGGAAUUACAGGUCGAUCGACUUGUCCUUGAUUACAAAAAUAUUGACUCCUGAAUCCAAAACCAUUUGCAAACAAUAUGUUUAGCUUGUUGGGUUCAUGUUCAAGCCAUGAUGUUUCUUUCCUGAUUGAAAAACUAAUUUUUUUUUUAUAUAGAAAAUACUAAACGUGAAAAAUUGGAUACCAGGGAGCAGGAAAAGAAGGUCCAGGUUGAAUGAAGCCACCAUGUUCUGAAGUGGUUGCGUUCGGUGUCAUAUAGGCAUGUCCCGGCUGAGGUUGAUGAAUAUUGGAGUUCUGAUGCCUGAAGAAUAUUCAAAUAGUUAAACUUAGAACUGUUAUGCUGACUUGGUUGAUUUUCUAGUUCCAUUAUGUGCACAAAAAAAGAGAGAUAGAGAGCUCAAAAAGACUUGAAAGAUCCUCGUCAAUUUUGGUCAAGUUUAUUGUUUUCAUGAUUAAAAAAGCUUAAAUUCAUUCAUUGAUUUAAUCAUUGAUUCAUUGGAGGUUGAGGUCCAGGUAGCAUCACAGGCACUUCAUUCAUUGGAGGUUGAGGUCCAGGCACUUGAUUGCUCAUUAGUAACUGAUAAUCAGUCCAUUGUUGGUCCCUAAAUUAGCAACAUUUGUUAGUAAUUUCUUUAUACAUAUAGCAUGGGAUUGGCACAUCGAGGAUCAGAUAAAUUAGGAUGAGGCAGAUACCUAUAUUCAAAUAUAAUGAAUUCAUUUAGUGUAAUACAUUGGCAUCACUGAUAAGAAUAUUAGGCAGAUAAGUAGAACAACAACAAGAAGUUAAAUAAUUAUGAAUAUUAUGUACAAGAAGAAUUUAAAUAAUGAUUAUUCUCACUUAGUUGAUUUUCUAGUUUCAUUAUGUGAAGCAAAUCAGGAGACAGGGGAAACAUGGGGAAGGCAAGGACUCUUGAAAGCUGAUUAAAGCUUAUUAGCUGUAGUUAUUAUUUCCUAUUUAGCUGAUAGGUUCCUAGUCAGAUUAGUAUUAGAUUUCAAUUACGUAUUAGAUCGUAAUUCCUUAGCUGUAGGGUAUUUAAGAGGGGAACAGAACAAAAGAUGGGACAUUAUUUGUAUUCUUGGCAAUUACUUUCUUUAAAUACAAAUUGGAGUGAUUCAUCUACAUAGAUAUUCUGUAUUAAAUUAUUUAUUGUUCUUACUGGGAGCAACGAGAGGUUGUACCGGAGGGCAUUUACAUUAAUAUGUGCAUAAAAAAAAAACAGAGAGAGAGAGAAAGAGAUAGAGAGCUCAAAAGAAGUUAAAUAAUGAUGAAUACCUUGAUGGAGUUUGAGGCCAAUUUGGUUCAUUUUGGUUGAUCCGUGAUGAUAUCGAGCUUUGGUUGUCUGGAACCUCCGGUGGCAGCCUGCUUCCAUGGACAGUGACAUUAUUAGGAUAAACGGAAGAAUAACUAAAUUGCAAGCAAUCAUCUUCUGAUAAAAUAUGCUUAAGAAUGACGUACGAGAGAAACUCAGAAAUAUUGAAUGUAUCUUCAAUGGUGUAUCUAAUUAUAAAAAUGAAGUGAUCAUUGUUAAAUAAUAUUUAUGUAGUCUUAUUUAUUAAGGGUAGAAUAGUACUUUCAGUUUAACCUAUAUAUACUUUAUUUGUAUUUAGGUUAAGACUAUGCAUUCAUAAUAAACAGAUUAUUCAGAAUUGUAGCCUCCUUUUUGUGUUUGAUCUCAAUAAGUUUAACAUGGUAUCAGAGCUGGUUUUAUGAAACGAGGCUUAAUCCCAAAUACAGCUUCGCGGAUCCAAUUUUUUUUUGAAGUGAUAUUUUGUCUUCCGCUUCUACAAAAUUGGGUAUUUCGACAGUUUCUAUAAUUAUUUUGGUAUUUCGACAGUUUCUGCAAUUAUUUUGGUAUUUGCAUUCAGUUUUUGCAAAUUUAUUUUGUGUUUUGGAGUAAUCGUAUAAUUUCGAGAAGAUAUUUGUUUAGUUUUUUGCAAUCUCUAUUCAGUUUCUACAAAUUGGUAUUUAGUUUUCCGCUGCUUUUGCAUUCUGGUUCUUUGUGACUGUUGGUUAUGGCUACUGAAAGAGAUGAUUCGCUUCAAUUUGUGAGUGUGAGGUUGGAUGGGAAGAACUAUUCGUAUUGGAGUUAUGUAAUGCGAAAUUUCCUUAAGGGUAAGAAGAUGUGGGGGUAUGUUAGUGGAACUUAUAUAAUACCUAAGAAUAUUGAAGAGGGGGAUGUUGUUUUGAUAGAUACAUGGGAAGCAAAUAAUGCAAAGAUUAUUACUUGGAUCAACAAUUCUGUUGAGCAUUCGAUAGGUAUGCAGUUGGCGAAGUAUGAGACAACAAAAGAGGUUUGGGAUCAUCUGCAAAGGUUAUUCACACAAUCAAAUUUUACAAAACAAUAUCAAUUAGAGAAUGACAUACGAGCUCCUCAUCAAAAGAAUAUGAGUAUUCAAGAGUUUUAUUCUGCUAUGACAGAUCUUUGGGAUCAAUUAGCUCUUACAGAAUCGGCAAAAUUAAAGGCAUGUGGUGCCUAUAUUGAGCGUAGAGAGCAGCAGCAAUUGGUACAGUUUUUAACAGCACUUCACAGUGAUUUUGAAGGACUUAGAGGUUCAAUUCUGCAUCGUUCUCCACUGCCUUGUGUUGACUUUGUUGUUAGUGAGUUAUUGGCUGAAGAAAUACGUCUUUAGUUUUAUUCUGAAAAGGGAAUUCUUUCUGCUUCAAAUCCUUCAUUAUUAGCAGUGUCUUCUAAGCCAUUCUCUAAUCAUCAGAAUAAGUCUUACACAAGGGUUGGCUUUGAUGAGUGCAAUUUCUGUAAGCAGAAAGGUCAUUGGAAAGCUCAGUGUCCUAAGUUGAGACAGCAUAAUCAAGCUUGGAAGUCUGGCAAUCAAUCACAAUCUAAUGCUCAUAGACCACCUCAGGGUUAUAAACCACCACACCACAAUACUGCAGCAGUAGCUUCCUCAAGCUCUAUUACCGAUCCUAAUAUUUUGGUUGAGCAAUUUCAGAAGUUUCUCUCCUUGCAGCCACAAGCAAUGUCCGCUUCUUCUUCCAUAGGUCAGUUGCCUCAUAGUUCCUCAGGUAUGUCACACUCUAAAUGGGCCUUGGAUUCUGGUACUUCUCAUCAUAUGUCUCCAGAUUCCUCAUCUUUUACCUCUGUGCCCCUUUUGUCCUCCAUUCCUGUUAUGACUACUGAUGGCACUCCUAUGCCCUUAGCAGGUGUUGGUUCUGUUGUCACACCUCACUUGUCUCUCACUAAUAUUUAUCUUAUUCCAAAACUCAAAUUAAAUCUUGCGUCUGUUGGUCAAAUAUGUGAUUCUGGUGAUUAUUUAGUCAUGUUUUAUGGUUCGUUUUGUUGUAUACAGGAUAUGCAGUCUCAGAAGCUGAUUGGGACAGGCCGUAGAGAGAAUGGACUAUAUAUUUUGGAUGAGUUAAAAGUGCCAGUUGCUGCUGCCGCCGCUGCUACUACUACCGUUGAUUUGUCUUCCUUUCGUUUGAGUCUUUCAUCUUCUAGUUUUUAUUUAUGGCAUUCCUGUCUAAGUCAUGUUUCAUCCUCUUGUUUGAGAUUUUUGGCAUCCACAGGAGCUUUAGGAAAUUUGAAAACUUGUGACAUUUCUGAUUGUAGUGGAUGUAAAUUGGCAAAAUUUUCCGCCUUACCUUUUAAUCGAAGUAUUUCUGUUUCUUCUUCACCAUUUGAUUUGAUUCAUUCUGAUGUAUGGGGACCUUCUCUUGUUGCCACAAAAGGAGGGUCUCGAUAUUAUGUCUCUUUUAUUGAUGAUCAUACUCGUUAUUGUUGGGUUUAUUUAAUGAAACAUCAUUCUGAAUUCUUUGAGAUAUAUGUAGCUUUUCGAGCUCUUAUCAAAACUCAAUAUUCUACUAUGAUUAAAUGUUUUAGGUGUGAUUUGGGUGGGGAAUACACCUCUAAUAAAUUUUGCCAAUUGCUUGCCUUAGAUGGAACCACCCACCAAACUUCUUAUUGCUGAAAAAAAAACAUAGGCACAUUGUUGAAACUGCUCGUUCUCUCUUGUUGUCUGCCUUUAUUUCUAGUGAGUUUUCGGGAGAAGUUGUUCUUACUGUUGUAAGUUUAAUUAAUACAAUUUCAUCUUCUCAAGUUCGGGUCUGUCUCCUUUUGAAAAGUUAUAUGGGUAUGUUCCUGAUUAUUCCUCAUUUAGAGUCUUUGGUUGUACUUGUUUCGUUCUUCGUCCUCAUGUAGAACGAAGUAAGUUAUCCUCUCGAUCCGCUAUUUGUGUUUUUCUAGGCUAUGGUGAAGGUAAAAAGGGUUAUCGUUGUUUUGAUCCAAUAACUCAGAAACUUUAUGUGUCUCGUCAUGUUGUCUUCCUUGAGCAUAUACCUUUCUUUUCUAUUCCAUCCACUACUCAUAACCUGACUAAAUCUGAUGUUAUUAGUAUAGAUCCGUUUUCUGAGGAUUCUAAUAAUGAUAUCUCUCCCCAUGUUCGAUCAAUUGGUACUCAUAACUCUGUAGGUACUGGUACUUUACUUUCUGGCACACCUGAAGCUCCAUUCUCAUCUACAGCCCCUCAAGCUUUAUCUGAGAUUGUGGAUCCACCUCCAUGUCAGUCCAUCCAUAUUCGUAAGUCUACAAAACUACCAGAUUUUGCUUAUUCUUGUUAUUCUUCAUCAUUUACUUCCUUUUUAGCUUCUAUUCAUUUACUUCCUAUUCGAGCAAUUUUUUUUGUUUCAACUUAGGCUCUGAUUCUGACUUAGUUUCGUACGAUAUGACCAUCCUGGGUAUAUUCUGUCACUCAUUACAUAUUGAAAAAUUGACGUACACCUUUAAUAGGUCCUAUGGAUCAUUGUUCUUAGAGCAGUUUCUCAGUCAGAUUUGGAUGCUCAACAUUGUCGGAUCAAGAACCUUUUUGACCAACUAGAUUACUGCUAGAUUCUGUUCUCUAAAACAAUUUUAUCUCACUUCAACUCUUUCAUCAAAGAUGUAGUCCUGGACGUGUAGAUAAAUUUGGACUUUUGAAUCGCUUGAUUUCAAUAUCAUAAGCUCAAAAUAUUCUUGUUUGAAUAUCUAACGUGAAGGCAGAGAAUUCUGCCGCGAGAAGGAUAUUGACUCGAGUCUGCUCUAAAAAAACUCUAUUUUUGGCCUAGUUUUUGUGAUUUUUGUUCUUAUUUCAUACUCUCAGUCAUAUCAGGAUUCUCGGCAUUCGUCAGUUUUUGAGUUAGACCUGGAGAUCCCUUUUGACCAACUAAAUUACUGUUAGAUUCUGUUCUGUAAAACGAUUUUAUCUCACUUCGACUUCUUCAUUAAAGUUGUAGUCCUCGAUGUGUAGAUGAAUUUGGGCUUUUGAAUCACUUGAUUCCGAUACCAGAAGCUCAAGAUAUUCCCAUUUGAAUAUCUAACGUGAAGGCAGAAAAUUCUGCCGCGGGAAGGAUAUAGCCCAAGUUCGCGGGGCUGAUUCGAAGGAUUUUUUUUGGACCAAGGACUGAAUCAAAAAGUUUUAAAAUGAGGGAUUGAAUUGAAGAAGGAUAUUGAAAGCUGGAGAGGGAGGAUGGAUCAUCAUAAAUGAUAGGAUUUUUUCCACACCAAUAAGGAAAAUGAGACCUUGCAGCUGCACCAUCCAGCUGAUUUUCUUUCCUUUUUCGCUGCAAAUUCUUGCUGUUUUUCCUUUAUCAUCAUGUCUGAUUUUGGGAGCUGCAACCACGUUUUUUCUGGCCUCAUUUCAAAGGGAGCAGCUGACCCUAUGGAAGGAAAGAAAACAACCACACCCUCCUCUAAAACUAGAAAGAAAUCAGACGUAAAGAACCAGCAUAAAGUCAGAAUAUUGCAGCUUCCUUUUGCAUUUUUUUUUACUGCAAAUCAGUAGGGAUUUACGUCCUAGGAUUAAUGCAUUGAAUCCUUCUUAAAUGGAGACAUUUUUAGACUAUAUAUAAGCCCUCUAAUGACCUAACGGGGGCAGAAAAAGAGAGAGCCGAAAGAGAGUAAAAAAUAGCAGAAAGAGAGCAGAAAAAAUAAACGAAAAACGCAAGAGAGGCAGGGAUUGAAAAAACAUAGAUAACAGGGGAACAUUGAGAGUUUGUUUUUUUCUUUGAUCCUUUUCGUCAAAAAGAGAAAGGAGAAUAGGGAGGCAGGCGACAGUAAAACCAGAAAAGCCAAUAGAACAAAAGAGGAAGUCUUUCUUUGGUUUUUUAGAGGCAAAACGCAGGAGCUUUUCUAUCGGGUUGUGUCUCAUCUUUUGCAUUUGAAACGUGCAGGAUCUGCAGGUAUGAGUCCCGACUUCCUUCAUCUUUGUCAUAUUUAAAGCUUUGUUUGGUUUUUGUUUUUCUGUUUGUUGCUUUUUGUUUUGGGGACGUUUAUUUUCAUCUUAGCAACAAAGUGGCUUGCUUGCAUACUGUCCAUCCCAUGUCUUUGAGUUUAGUUUAUUAUCACUGUUAGAGCUGCGUUUUUUUUUUUGUUUUACUCCCUAGUGAUGAGAAACUGUAAGCUUUAAACAUCCCUUUCUCCCGUCGCUCAAUCGUUCUUUUGCAAUGGAACGCUAAUUAGAAGCAAGUGUUUAAUUAGGUGCAGAAGAGAGGGUUGAAAAAAAAACGUGAGGGAGAGUCCCUUUCUUCAGUUAAUGCCGAUUCUGGGUUCACACCGUUUUCUUUCUUUCUUUUCUUUUCUUUUGUUUUUUGAGUUUGCAGGGAGGGGUCAUGGUUCAUGUUGUAAUUUUAUUUAGCUUGAGGACCUCGUUUUUUUUAUAUGUUUUGUGCACACUGACUUGUGUUUUUUUUUAAUUGGUGUGCCGAAACUUGUUUAUUUGAGAUGAAUUGUUUUAAGCUUCUUGCAAAUUUUGGAAUAGGUGAAUAUUUUUUGUGAUGUUUGUUUAAUCAUGUUAUUCAUUUUUUUUUAAGAAAAAAAAUGGUUUUUUCUUGUGUGUUGCAUACGGCCAUUACCCUAACAUGCUUUGAAUUUUUUUUUAUAUAUAAAAAAAUAUUUGAAGUUUCGAAAAAGGUGUUUUCGCAUGGAUUUCGUAAACAUAACAAAAAUUAUUUUCUUGCAUUUCUGGAUUCUACAACAUGUUUGUAAAACUCCAAAGGGUAUUGGCCAAUAUUUCAAAAAAAAAAAUCCUUUUUUUUUGGGGGGGGAAUUCAUCUAUUAUUCACCGCUAAUGUUUGGAUAAAGAAAUUCUCAAAGGAUGAAUAUCCAAAAUAUUAUUGGGAGUAAUAAAUCCGCACACAUCCUUGAAAGAAGCCUUGAUUAUAAUCGAGGACAUUUCAAUUUUUUUACUCCAAGGUUUAUGAGCCGUGAGAGUAUAAAACAUUAAAAAAUAUAUCUAUAUAUAGGUUUUUUUUUAGCGCCCUAGAUUUCUAAGAUUUUUGUCCCUCCUCCUUGCGAUUUACGAGUGCAAACUUUUGAAAUACUAAGGGAAAAAUGAGCUUUCAAAGCACAUGGAAUCUCCUUGGAUUUCUAUCCUAAUAAAUUUAGUUUGAAUCAAAUCUAGAAAAACAGAUGGGAUUAGAAAACACCAACACUAUAGCAAUUAUAGCGCAAACCAAACACCAAGCAGCUUACCUUAGGUAGGGCGUACUAGGGGUGCUAAUACCUUCCCUUUACGCAACCAGUCCCUUACCUUAGAAUCUCUGAAAGACUAGUUAGGGUUCCUAGUGACCAAAAUACUAGGUGGCGACUCUCAUAUUCACAAUAAAACAAAAGACCCUGAAAUAAAUCGAAAGUCGUCGCUCCGCCACGAGGGUGCGACACUCCUAUUGAGGUUAAUGCAAGGUACUCUUCUUCUGAUGGUUUACCUUUGAUAGAUCCUACUUUAUACCGCACUAUUGUUGGGAGUUUGGUAUAUCUCAUCAUUACUCGUCCAGAUAUUGCAUAUGUUGUUCAUGUUGUUAGUCAGUUUGUUGCUUCUCCUACUAUUGUUCAUUGGGUAGCUAUUCUUCGUAUUUUGCGAUAUCUUCGAGGUACAGUUUUUCAGAGUCUUUUACUCUCAUCCACCUCUUCCUUGGAGUUGCGUGCAUACUCUGAUGCUGAUCAUAGUAGUGAUCCCACAGAUCGCAAGUCUGUUACCGGGGUUUUGUAUCUUUUUAGGUGAUUCUCUUAUUUCUUGGAAGAGCAAGAAACAAUCUAUUGUUUCUCAAUCAUCCACCGAAACAAAAUAUCGUGCCAUGGCAUCUACCACAAAAGAGAUUGUUUAGUUACGUUCGUUACUUGCUGAUAUGGGAGUUUCCUUUUCUCAUCCUACUCCUAUGUAUUGUGACAACCAGAGUUCUAUUCAGAUUGCUCACAACUCGGUUUUUCAUGAGUGAACUAAGCACAUUGAGAUCGAUUGUCAUCUUACUCGUCAUCAUCUCAAGCAUGGCACCAUUACUUUGCCUUUUGUUCCUUCUUCCUUGCGGAUUUCUUUACCAAGGCGCAUUCCAUCUCUCAUUUUCGUUUUCUGGUUGGCAAACUCUCGAUGCUUGUAGCUGCCGCAUCGUGAGUUUGAGGGGAGAUGUUAAAUAAUAUUUAUGUAAUCUUAUUUAUUAAGGGUAGAAUAGUACUUUCAGUUUAACCUAUAUAUACUUUAUUUAUAUUUAGGUUGAGAUUAUACAUUCAUAAUAAACAGAUUAUUCAAAAUUGUAGCCUCCUUUUUGUGUUUGAUCUCAAUAAGUUUAACAAUCAUAUUAUAAAACCUUUCAAUAUUUGGUAGCAUCUCUUAAGCAGUAAAUAUCAAUGGUGUAUCUAAUUAUCAAAAAGGUGUUAAUACCGUGUUAAAACACAACAGCUAGAAGUCAAUCAGUACCUCGUAGAGUUGCCAGAGUUUCGAGGCACGAAGUUCUCUUGUUGCAUAUUGUCUAUGUCAGGAAUUACAGCAGCUUGAUCGUCUUGUCCUUGAUUAGAAAGAAAUUGAAUCCUGAAUCCAAAAUCAUUCGCAAGCAUUAUGAAGCAUUACAAACUUAUGAUUAUCUAGCUGGGUUCAUGUUCAAGCUAUGAUGUUACUUUCCUCUUUGAAAAACUAUUUCUUUUUUUUUUUUACAGCAAAUACUAAAUAUGAAAAAUUGGAUACCGGGGAGCAGGAAAAGAAGGUCCAGAUUGAUUGAAGCCACCAUUUUGUGAAGUGGUUGCAUUCGGUGUCAUAUAGCCUUGUCCCGGAUGAGGUUCAGGAAUAUUGGAGUUCUGAUGCCUGAAUAAUAUUCAAAUAGUUAAACUUAGAACUGUUAUGCUCACUUGGUUGAUUUUCUAGUUCCAUUAUGUGCACACAAAAAAAAGAGAGAUAGAGAGCUCAAAAAUACUUGAAAGAUCCUCGUCAAUUUUGGUCAAGUUUAUUGUUUUCAUGAUUAAAAAAGUGUAUAUAUAUUCGAGGUUAAUACCAUUGAUUUAUUGGAGGUUGAGGUCCAGGUAACAUCGCAGGCACUUGAUUGCUCAUUGGUAACGGAUAAUUAGUCCAUUGUUGGUCCCUAAAUUAGCAACAUUUGUUAGUGAUUUCUUUAUACAUAUGCAUAAUUGUUAGCUAUUAAUCCACUAAGCAUUUGAUAUCAUUUUAGCUUACCUCAAAGGCAUUGAUGGUCCAGGUAGCAUGGGAUUGACACAUUGAGGAUCAAAUAAAUUAGGAUUAAGCUGAUACGGUGAUACCUACAUUCAAACAUAAUGAAUUCACUGAUAAGUACAACAACAAGAGGAAGAAAUGAAGAAGUCAAAUAAUGAUUGAAAAACUUCUUCUUCUUUUUUUUAACAGAAAAUACUAAAAAUGAAAAAUUGGAUACCGGGGAGCAGGAAAAAGAAGGUCCAGGUUGAUUGAAACCACCAUGUUGUGAAGUGGUUGCGUUCGGUGUCAUAUAGCUAUUUCCCGGCUGAGGUCGAUGGAUAAAGGAAUUAUGAUGCCUUGAUGGAGUUUGAGGCCAAUUUUAUAUAAAACUUAAUGAUAAAAAAAUAUCAUAAAAAAGUCUAAAUCUCCCAAUUGUUGUCUGUUUGUUUAACAAUAAACAUUUUGAAGAUGCUCGAGAUAAAUUGAUAAACGAAAACAUAAGACUUUUUGAUCCAAUGGGUGAUACAAACACUUGCUAAUUCAAUGGAAAUUGUAGCAAAUUGGAGUAGGCAUGAGCACUCACCAUGGUUUGAGGAAAUGAAGGUGGAAACUGAUCAGUUGUUUGCUGAAUACUAUCGUUGAUCACAUUGUUAUCCACCACCAUGUUCUGUCCAUCUUGAUCAUUGCAUAAUAUGGAGCUUUGGUUGCCUGAAAACUCCGGUGGCGACCUGCUUAAUUUGUUAUUAGGAACAUUAUUCUUUUUUGGGAAUAAUAAGAAAAACUGUAGAAUAACUAAAUUGCAAGUAAUCAUCUUCUGAUAAAAUAUGCUUAAGAAUGACGCACAAGAGAAACUCAGAUAUAUUGAAUGAAUCUUCUUGUGAUUGAAAAUCGAACUGAUUCGAUGUCAAGUUGACAUCAUCCUCAUUACAAGACGGUGGGACUCCUUCCAUCUGAGGUUUAAAAAAGAACAGAAAGCACAGAUUAGAUAAGAAUAUAUAUAUAGACACACACACACGACUUAUUUAUUUGUUAAAGAAAUUCGGAUGAAAAAUAGGAAAUAUAAAUGUUGCUGUUAAUUAUUUAAUUCUUUGUUUUAAUGCUAAAUUAUUUGUCACUUGUUGUGAACAAGUUUAAUGAAAGAUAAUUAAUACUGAUCAAGUUAAUUCAUGAAUCAGUAAAAAACAACUUCAUUGAAUCAUUAUGUCAGAAAAAUAUUGGAUAAAAAUAAUUAAUGGCAGUCCCACAGGGCAUGGAUUACAAAAUCUAGUAUUGGAAAAGAAAUCCCAUAUAUAAGGAGUUAAAAACAGCAAAGAAUUUUGAAAAGACAAAAACAAUGAAUUCAAGGUUUAGGGUUAAUUUGGUAUGAACACCACAAGGCAUAGAUUACAAAAUCUGAGAAAAAGAUCGAUUUAUUUAUCAUGGAUUACUUUAAAGAUUCAGACAAGAUGAAGUACAAUUAAUUUACCUGGAUUCAAGAUGUUCUUCAAGUGCUAGCUGGUUUGCUUAAGCAGUGAUCAGCCAAAAGAAAAGGAAGAGAAAUCACAGAUCAGAGAAUAAUAUAUGGUUUAGAAAAAUAAUAAAGAUGCAGUAUACAUAAAUCUAGUUCGCACUGAUCAUGAGAUGUAGAAAGGAAAAUAGGGAAUUGUACAAUGAGAUGAGAUGUGGAAGAGAAUGUUACAGCAGCUAGCUCUUUUACAUAAUAUUAUUUAUUAGUAAGGUCGCCUCAAUAAUAAUUAAUUAACGUAUUGUUUGAUAUAUUAUAAGAUAUAUAAAGUUAACGUGUGGACCAGCCCCAAUGUUGAAACUUCGAAGAAGCUGCCAAGAAAAUGUAAACAAAUUAAGGUUCCAUUUGUUUGCUGGAAAGUAUUAUUUUUUUUGAAGUAAAUUUCGAGUAAAGUGAAUUCCGGGAAAGUAUUUUCCGAUGUUUAGUGUAAUGAAAAAUGAGUUGGAAACACUUUCCAGUAUUUGGUUAUGUCAUAGAAAAUGUGUUGGAAAAUAAUUUAUUAAUAUUUUAUUUUUCUCAAGUUUAUUAAAAUAAUAAGAAACAAAUCUUACAAAUUAAAUGGUUGAAUGAUAAUGAAAUUGAAAAAAAAAUAUAAUUUCAUAAAUUAUCUCAAAUAAAAUAAAUAAUAAUCAAAAUAAUAGAGAUCAAAUCUAAAAAAUUAAAAAAUAAUAAAAGAUGAAGAAAUAAAAAUAAUAAUAAUCAACAUUUCAUAAAUUAUUUCAAAUAAAAUAAGUAACAAUCAAAAGAAUAAGGACCAAAUUUGAUAGAUAAAAAAUUUCAAUAAAAAUAUGAUAAGAAAAAAGCAAAUAGCAAUUAUAAAAAUAAGAACCAAAGUUAAUAUAAAAAUAAAAUUUUAAAAGAUGAAAUUGAAAAAUAAAUAUUCAAAACAAAAUAUAUAUAGCAAUCAAAAGUUUGAGGAUCAAAUUUGAUAUAAUCAGUAAAUAAUGACAUUUCUAAAUUUUUCACAACUCCCGGAAAGUGUUUUCCCCCCAAACUUUUCAGGAAAACACUUUCCUGAAAAGCAAGCCAAAUUUUUCUUUUACUGGAAAGUGUUUUCCAUUGACCAACUUUUCUACUGGCAAACAAACAAAAGAAAGUUUGGAAAGUGAUUUUUCCGGAAAUUACUUUCCGGAAAACAAACACAGCUAAAAAGAAAAUAUUUUCCUGAAAAUCAAGUCAAAUUUUUCUUUGACUGAAAAGUGUUUUCCGUUGACUAAAAAGUGUUUUCCAUUGACCAACUUUUCUAAUGAUAAACAAAUACAGGUGUAACUGGACGACAAAACAGAGUGACCAUUUCUUUUUCUAACAACAGGAAAGUUUGGAAAAUGGUUUCCCGGAAACUACUUUCCGGGAAACAAACAUGGCCUAAAUUUUCUAAAAAGAACAGCAUAUUUCUGCAUGCUGUGAAUUUUUUAAAAAAAUAUUUUUUAUUUAAAUAUAUAUUAAAAUAAUUUUUUAAUUUUUUUUUAUAUUGUCACAUAAAUACAAUUCAAAAAUAUUAAAUACAAACAGUCACUUGAUAUAAUUUUACAGAUUUUUAAUUAGUCUCCCUCAUUUGAGCCAUGUCAUGGUUAAUAGUUAUCAGAAGAACCAACACCCCGACAAAAAUAAUAAUAAUUUCACAGUUGAACAAUGUUUUUUAAAAAACUUGAUAUUUUUUUAUUUUAAAUUAAAAUUUUUAAUAUUUUUAGAUUGAUUUGACAUUUUAAUAUUCAAAAUAAAUUUUAAAAAAUAAUAAAAAUUAUUAUUAAUAUAUUUUUAAAUAAAAAAUAAUUUAAAAAAUAAUUAUUAUCACCAUCAAACAUUAUCUUAUUCCAUGAUAGCAUACCUGAACUUUUCCACAACAAUGGAAAUUAUUAUUUUUUCCAACACCCUUCUACAGAUUUAUAUUCUUAGCCCUCGACCUAUAAAGUAUGAUUUGCUAGCCAAUCUGCACACUAGUUUCUAAUUAAUACAAAGAUGAUCGUGUUUUUUUGUUGCCAAAAUUGUGGGCCAAUAAUUUUCCAUUUUUUUCCGAGUUUUUUAGUGAUUUUUUUUUAUCUCAAAUUCAUAAAUUAAAAAAUUAAUAAAAUAAAAUUUUGAAUUAAAAUUAAAAACCAAAAUUAAAAUGCAAAAUGCAAAAACUCCAGGGAACAGAAUUUUGAAAAACACACCAAGCUACUUUUUUAUUUCAGUAUCAUAUUUGGUGUUCAAAGUUUCAAUUAUUUUUAAUGAAUUAAAUUGAAUAAAAUUUUAUCAAAUCAAAUACCAACUUAAAUUAAUCGUUGAAGCUUUUUUUUUUUUUUUACCUUGAGAACUUCAUAAUUAAUUAAAAUAAAUUAUUAACCUCAAAUUCCCAUGAAUAUAAAAUUAAAAAUAAAAUAAUCAGCUCAAAUAAUAAUUAAUUAACGUAUUGCCUGAUAGUAAGGAAGUUGUCCGGAAGCAACCCACCGCUCACCUACCAAACAUGAGAGUGUUCGGAGAUUAUUUGGUUUUUUGUUUUUUAUGGCCAUAUAAAAAAUAUAUAUUUUUAAUUUUAAAAAAUAUAAUGUAUAUUUUAAAAAAUUAUUUUUUUAAUAAAAAAAUUAUCACAUCUCCGUACCAAAUACACAUAUUAUAUUAUAAGAUAUAAAAAGUUAACAUGUGGACCCCCACCAAUGUUUAAACUUCGAAGAAGCUGCCAAGAAAAUGUAAACACAUGAAAUUUUCAAAAAAGAAUAGUAUAUUUAUGCAUGCUGUAAAUGUUUUUUUAAAAAUAUUUUUUAUUUAGAAAUAUAUUAAAAUAAUAUUUUUAAAUUUUUUACAUUUUAUAUCAUAAUAUCAAAAUAAUUAAAAAUAUUUAAAAUAUAUUUUUAAAAAAUACAUUGGGAUUGUAAAGUUAAACCAGUUCUAACGUUUAAAUUGUUUUAAAAAUAUUUUAAAAAUAUAAAAAUAAACAGGGUUUAAGGUGCAUUUGAAUGUGUCUGCCUUUGAGUGUGUCUAUCAGAGCCGAGUGAUUUUACUUAACCAUGAAUUUUUUGUGAGACAAAUUAUAAUGAAUUUUUUUCUAUUUUACUAAUAUACCCAAGGUGUUUAUAACUAGAUGCUACUUGCUGAGGUGGAUAUUAGCAAUAUCAAAAUUAACUGUAAUGUUAAAACUUUGGAAAGCUAUUUGAGGCAACACCAUGCCCACCAACAUCACCCCAACAAAAAAAGAUGAAUUUUUGUACCUCCCAUAAAGAAAAUAGAUAGAGGUAUGAAAUUUUAUUCUAAAUAUAUUCUUAUAAAAAUUUUAAAAUUCCAAAUCAUGUACAUAUUCUGCACAUCACACAUAAUGACAUCUUUGUUUAGCGAUGGAGCACAGAGUUGAUCAUAAUAUAUAUCUUCCAUGGUCAAGACACAAUGGAUCUGUUGGUUGAGAUGGAUCUCCAUCACAGCCCAACAUCAUUAGCGCUUAUCAAAAGAAGAAGAUUUCGAAUCAGUCCAUUCAUUUCCAUCUGUAGGCAUCUUUCUCAAACAUCAAGGAGAAUUACUUCUAGAUUCUGAGUUGCCACUAAAAAACAAAAAACCCUUACGAACUAGUUCGUCUUCCAAUCCUUAAAUUAGUUUCCUCGUUGUUUUUCACAAUUUUUUAAGAAAAAAAAAUAAAAAAGGAAAAAUAAAAAUAUGAUCAUAAGCUAUAUAUCUAACACUCAUUUUAAAGAAAUUGAUAAUCCAAGAAUUUAAACCUAGCCAGUUAGCUAUAGGACACACAACUCGCUAGGGAUACGAUGAACCUUUUUUUGAUGGCCUUGUAACCCAGCAGAUUGGAAAAAAUAACAACGCUCCUAGGCCAAGCCCGCGAACAUCACCCCCAGCAUAUUGGAAAAAAUGCUCAUAACCAUUUCGGAAAAAACACACCUAGGCUACCAUGGUAUGCUAGAAAGUGGAAAUAAAUCGAUAAUAAUCAUGAAAUAAAUCGUAAGCAGAAAAGAAAAAUAAAUAAAAAUUGUUCAUACUACUCCAUCUUGAUUGAUGGGAAUGACUUCUGACUUGCAUACAUAUGUAAUAUGUAAGACUCCUGCUAAAAUUAUCUGAUAAAUUUUCGUGAAAAAAAAUAAUAAAGUCAGAGAACAACCAUGAAAUGCUUCUUAAAUUAAAUCAAAUGGAGAAGAAAACUCAGGUAAUAAAUGUUUAAUUCACUUUCAAGUGACAAUAAAGAAUGAAAGCAUUUCUAUUCAAUGAUAUUUCUUGGCUCACAAAUAAUCUAUCAACAAUUAUAUGAGAAUCAAAUCUCUCCAAUCACAUGCUCAACACUUAGAAAGCAAAUUUACAGAGUAAUAAGUCUAAUAAACUUCUUGAUGUAGUGCAACAGAUAAUUCUAAAUUUAUUAAAUAGACUCAUUAACAUUUUUUAUGUAUUUAUUGACAUAAAUAAUUCCAAAUUUAUCUAAUUAAAUAUAUACAAAACGUGGUUAGUAUAACUAAACACACUGACUUUUGGCUACCAAACUAGUUUUGGCAUUAAGUGGCUUGUCCCCAGAACCUGGGUCCCAAAUGCCAGCAACCGAACAUAAAAAGGUUUCAACCCCAUGGUGCCUUUUCCCUUGUUGUAAAUAUAAAAUAAAAUUUAAGUCAAGGAGGUCCAGUCUUAAAUGCUCCAAACAUUAUCCUUGUAUCAAGCUUAUGUGAUCCAAGAAUUCAUAUUUAUUAUAAAAUUAUAAUUUAAUAUGAGUUUUUAUCUUAUGAUUCAAGAAGUUUCUAUUGUAUAUUCAAGAAUUUUAAGUUUGUAGUCAAUUUUAUAAUUCAUAAAAAUAUUUGAUCCCUGAAUUAGUUUUCUAAAUGCCUUGCAUAAAUUCUUAAGAGUAAAAAUAUUUUAACAAUAGUUGUCGUGCUAAAAAUGAUACUCUAUUGAACUUUUAUUUCUAAUUCUAUUUUUUAAGUUUUUGAUUUUUGUAAAAUUGAUUGGAAAAAAAAAUCAGGUCAUGUGGGCGCUUAACUCGAAUCAGCAAAAUCAAAGAAUCAAGUGAAUAAUAAAUUUCAAUAUUCAGAGUUGAAGACCGGUGGAGCAAAAUCCGACUCUAGUCUAGAGCGUGUUUGGGAACGUCGUGCAAAUCGUAUUGCUUCAAAAUUAAAAUUUUAUUUGUUUAAAAUUAAUUUUUUUAUGUUUUGAAAUCGUUUUGAUGUGUUGAUAUCAAAAAUAAUUUUUUUAAAAAAAUAUUAUUUUGAUGUAUUUAUAAGGAAAAAACACUUUCAACCGCAAACCGCUCGUUUGAGAUUGUGGUAGUGAUUGUGGUUCAAAGUGUUUUUCGCUUAGAAAUACAACAAAAUUAUUUUUUUUUAUUUUAAAAAAUUAUUUUUGAUAUCAACACAUCAAAACGAUCUAAAAACAUAAAAAAAAAUUAACAAAAAAGAAAUUCAAAGUUUAAGUAAACAUGAUUUCCAUGGCAUUCCCCAAUAUGCCCGAAUCAAAGACAUUCUAAUCUCGUUACUUUUUAGAGAUCUCUUAAUUUUCAAGAGAACCUUAACCAUCCCUUUAUGCAAGUGUAUGCUUUGCCAAACAAUCCUUCAGGAGAAUGGGUUCUCAAACAUGCCAAAUUGUUUUUCAAAUAAUUCAAAAUUCCUAAAACAAACACUAUAUUAAAUUCAUCUAUAUCGGCAUGGGUUGAUCUAUCCAACCUAGUAAUAUGUCAUAGGAUUGGAAUCUGAUUAUGUAACAAUAGGGAAAAAAUGUCAGAUUUUUGUUUUUUUUAUUGGAUUUACUUUCUAUGUGGUCAAUCUUGCCAUUAUCAUGAGUUUCUAAAGUUAACAUAGGCUGAUUUUAAUAUUUUUCAGGUUUUUUUUUUAUUUUUUUAAUAUUAUUUUUUUAGAGUUGAUCUUUAUGAUUUUUUUAUGGAACAAUAGGGAAAUUUUUUUUAUAAAUUAUUUAUUUAAUUAUAUGAUAAAAAUAAAUGCUCCUCAAAUUGAGUAUCAUUUUUAAAAUAAUUCUAUAAAAAAUAAAUUAUAUUUAUUUAAGAUUAUAAUAAUUCUAUAAAAAAUAAAUAAAAAUAAAUCAUAUAGUUUAUUUACAAAGCAAUCUAAUAAUAUUAAAGAAUAACAUAAAAAAAUAAAAAAAAAUAUAUCAGAGAAAUCACAUAAGUUUGAUAGCAAGGAAGGAAGUUGCUGAGAAGGAACCCGCCGCUUACCUAACAAACAUUAUAUUAUAAGAUAUAGGAAGGUAACGUGUGGACCCCCUAAUGUUGAAACUUUGAAGAAGCUGCCUGUAAAAUGUAAACACGUGAAUAUGAGAAAGAAUAGCAUAUUAAGGUAGUAGAUAUCUCUUCCAUUUUUUUCCUCUUCAUAAUGCAUGGAUUUAAGUUGCUUGGAGAUUUCAUUAAUGAAAUUAUUAUUUUUUUAUUUUUAAUAUUAGUAUAUUAAAAAAUAUUUUUUCAAGAUAAAUAAUUUUUAAAAAUAUAUUCAAACACAAUUUUAAAUAUAAAAAUAAAUUAUGUCUUGAUUCUAUCGUAACAAUCUUCAUCUUCAAAGAUAAAUUAUUAAGAUCGUGACCUAUGUUCUCGAUUGAACUAGGAAGGUAUGGACUCUAAAUCCUAUAUAUAUAGAUAAAUUAGUAGAAAGGACAAAAACCCUAGUGCAAAAGUCCUAUAAACUAGCCAAACAAAUCAUACCCAGAAAAUCAAAAGCCAGAAACAUUCUAGCUCAAUUUUUGCUCCCCCUAGCUAAGAAAUGCAUAAUGCCCGCUUUGAAUUAUAGAUCAUCCAAAUUCCAGGGUAAAUAAUUGGAGAGUAAUUUGAUAGUGCUUAUAAAUUAAUUAAUGUCAUUUUAUUAAUUAUUAUUUUAUAUUUAUUUUAAAGAAAUAGAGAGAUAAACUAGAAGAAGAAAAAUCCAAGGUAAAAAUAUUCUUAUUAUUUUUUGUGUUUGUUUUUUUAAGUGAAUCCAAAAAAUAACCAAUAAUAAAUGACUAAUUACAUCCAAAGAAUAAUGCGGUGACGGUAGCACAGCAUUGAUUCUACAUGGGGACAAAUUAAAAGAAUAGAAGAAAAUAUUAAAUGAUUUAAUAGAGAAUAAAAUUUAAUUUUAAAUGCAAAUUAAAAUAAAGUAGAGUGACUAAUGGAGGAAGUACUGGAAUUCUACGAACAGUAGAGCGUCGGGAAUCCUUGCACACCUUUGGUAUUUUAAUUAUUCUUAUUUCGUUUAAUAACUCAAUAGGAUGAAAAAAAAAUAUUAAUCAAACUUCAAAUUAUAAUUAUUUAUCAUUUGAGUUAAAAAAAAAUAUGACAAUUCAGUAGUCUUUAAUGAAAUAAAAAAAAAUAAAAAAUGUUAUUUAUGUAAUUGUGCUUAACUUUACAAAGGGACGAAGGACAUUCUUUGCAUUAGGAUGCUCCCACUCCACUACCGUCUCCCACCAUUCUUUUGGAUAUACUAUGAUUUCUUCAAGAGAAGGGGGAGGAGAUGGCUGGCCAUUUUCAAGCAACGGAAGACAAAUUGGCAUCCUCUUCAGCUUCUGACAACGGAAUACAUUAAUUUCUUCAAGAGAAUUGCAAAUCAGUUUUGCACUACAAAUGCUUUUCAGUUCUGGUAAUUCAAAUAAAUUCAGAAUUCUUAACUUUGGGAGAAUGACUUCCGUGAUAGAAUUGGAGGUGCUGCUUUCUUCAUCUGUUGUUCCUAUUAUCUCCUCCAUUUUCUCACACUCAUUAACUUCAAUCACUUCCAGGUUUACCAGGUUUGGCAGCAACACAAGUGGGAACAGCUUCUUCAUACUUUUACAUCUAACAUAAUAAAACUCUUUAAGACCAGAAAACAUACCAUUAUAUGAUGGCAAUGGUGGCGGAUCAAAGCAGAAACAAGAAGAUGAAACCAAGCUCUCCAUGCUAUUGCAAUCCACAAUGUUGAUGUGCUCCAGUUCAGUUGCAUUCUCUAAUGACAAAACAUCACAUAAACUUCUUGCAUCGAUGCAUUCACAAACCAGUCCUUGAAUGCCAUUUAAGAACUUGACCUGAAAAUCUCCGUCUCCGUUGAUACUCAAAUUACCCAACCCAACUGUUUUACUUGGAAAAUUCAAUGCUUGCCAAAUACACCCACCUCUCCUACUAAAAUUUUGUAUGUGCUUAAUGAUUGGAUCCCAUCCCGAGAUCUGAGAUACUCCACGAAGUCAGGGAAACCUUCGAAAUGGCAUUCCAAAGUUUCUAAAUUUCUCAAGGAUCCUACUUCCUUUCCUUUAACUGUUAUCGGAGCAUUCGUAAAAUUUUCUAGUACAAAGACUUGCAGGUGAGAGAGUUUUGGUAAUAUCCCACUAGGAAACUCCUUUUCACCACAUCCAUGCAUUCUAAGAUACCUCAGGUUGGUUAGGCAUUCCAUUCCUUGCGGCAUCUUUGCAAGUGCCCGAGUAUCAGAGAGAUCCAACCUCUUCAGUGCCCUGAGCUUCUUUAAUGAUGGAACAUAUCUUAAGUUCUCACACAUUUUGAGCAAUAACGCAGUGAGACUCACCAAAUCAGAGACAGAGUCUGGCAAGUUUUCAAUACCUGUGCAAGACAGAUCGAGGACCUUGAGCCCAUGCAAUUGCUUGAAAAAUGAAUCCGCAAUCAAUGCAACUUUAUUUCACAUAGAAAUAGAGUUGAAAUGGACACUUGGUGAAUACUGGAAGGAAUUUCUUGAUCUUGUUUUUCAUUAGUGAAACUCGUCAGAUUCUCCGUCCACUCCUCUGCAUUUGGCAGCUCUUUUAAUUGCGCACCUGCUUUAACCAUAACUUGAGAGUUGUCUUGUAGUAUUUGGAUGGCCAUGUCCCUAAUCAAGUCAUGCAUCUUGACACAUCUACGACCAUCGUCCAUUUUAGCACUUUCCAAUAGGCAGACAUUUUCAAGUCUAUUAAGCAUCGUGUGGCCCUCAUCAAAUGCAUCUCCCCUGCUCCUCAUUCCUUUAAUUAUUCCCUCAUCAAUCAAAUAACCUAUCAACUCCUCCCUUUCAAUCUUACCAUCUUCAGGAAAUAAUGCACAGUACAAGAGACAUCGUUGUAGUGCUAAAUCACCUAACCGAUCAUAACUAAACCUCAAUAACUUGAAUACUUUCUCAUCUAUGUCCCUAAAUUCUGAUUCUCUCAAUUUGUUCAAUGUAUUUCUCCACUCAUGUAGGUCAUCCACUCCCCUCAAGCUUCUUGCUACUGUAAUAAUUCCCAAUGGCAAACCAUCACAUUCCUCUGCAAUAGCUUUUGCAAUCCCUUCCACUUCUCGCGAAAGUGCUUUGUCACGUCCAAGUUUCUCCAAGAACAAAUUCCAAGCUUCUCCAUCAGAAAGUGGCUUCACUUUGAUUUUGUGAUUGCAAGCAAUUCCAUGACAAACCGUUUCUAAUCGAGUUGUCAAAAUCAACUUGCAUCCUUCCAACUUCUCAGGAAUUCCCACUUUGUCUAGCUCAAAAUCAUUCCACAAAUCAUCUAGAAUGAGAAUCCAUUUUUGUUUCUUCAUUAGUUCUUCUGACAAUUUGGCAGCUCUAUGCAGAUCAUCAUCUUCGCUUGAAAGGUCUAGAUGAAGACGUUUAGCAAUAAGAUUCUGCAAUCUAUUAAUGCUGAAAUCUUGAGACACAGUCACCCACCAAACAUGAUCACAAAUAUCUGGUCUUUGUGGAAGCUCAUUAUGGAUAUGUUGCAGUACUGUGGAUUUACCAACUCCCCCCAUCCCAUAAAUGCCAAUGGUUGGGACUUCAUCAUCCAUUAACAAAGACCAUAUCACCUUCGUAUUCUCUUCGAAUGCUUGACCCACCGGCAUUGUAGAGCUAGUAGGUAAUGGAACUCCUCUAGUCUUGUUGUAUUUCAGACUUUCAGAAGAUCUAGCUACAGCACCAACCUGCACUGAUCUUCGACUAUUCUCCACAUCCUCCUCCACUGGUUCUGUCCUCACUCUAACCCGAUUAAUUCUCUCUUCCCCGGCACAUUGUUCCAGCACCCCCUGAACUCCCACUUGUAUCCUUCCAGCAGCCCCUGCCAAAUUGCCAAGUACUGCAUUGCUUUGUUCCAACGAUCGAUCCACUGGUUCUGUCCUCGGUCUGCUCUCGAGUGCCCCUUCGGAAACUCCAUCUUCUUGUGCUCUCAUUCCGGUCAUGCUUACUACGUCGUUUCCUGCUAUUGCAUGUGAAGUAAUCCUCUCUUCCCCUACUCCGGGUUCUACAUCCUGAACUUCUCUUUGUACCAUUCCAAUUCCUCCUGUGAUUUUAUGUCUUUUGUUGCCACCACACAUAGCUUUCCAGGCUGCUUCUUGAACUUCUUUAGGCACCCCACGACAAAUGGCAACAUUAUGCCCUUCCUCUCCUGAUAAAUGCCAUUUGAUCCUUGAAAUUGUGGUUUUAUUGGCAAAUGUAUGUGGACAAAACUUACACUUCAUGCUACCAUCAUCAGCCCUUUCAACAUAAUUCCAAAAUGAAU